Molecule: long non-coding RNA, 3546 nt
Organism: Hypanus sabinus (Atlantic stingray)
Lineage: Eukaryota; Metazoa; Chordata; Chondrichthyes; Myliobatiformes; Dasyatidae
Exons: 8
Source: RefSeq, a predicted model, not a curated record
UUUUAUGAGAAAAAAAAUUUUAGAACAAAAAAUGUCAGUUUCAGAGCAAAGUGGUUACAGCAUUGUUAAACUCUUUCAGUGAUUACAGAUUUGUCAAUUGGUUCAGGAAUCAAACGACUGAAGGGAAUGAUCUAUCUUUCACCUGGCUUCAGUCUUCAGGCUUCUGUAUUCCUUCCCGAUGGUGGAUGCAAAAUGUCAUGGCCCAGAUGGUGGGGACGGUUGAUGCUGAAUGUUGCCUUCUUGAUGCAGCACCUCCUGUAGAUACACCAGUGGUGGGAAGGGAUGUUCAUGUGAUGUACUGGACAGAGUCUCCUACUCUUUGCAGCCAUACCAGACCAUGAUGCAAUCUGUCAGAAUACUUUCAACAGUAGAUCUGUAGAAAGGAGAGUGUUUAGUGACAAGCUAAACCUUCUGAAUCUCCUAAGAAAGUAAAGACGUUAGCAUGAUUUCCUUAUGAUUUAUUUAUAUCUGGAUUACGAAAAAUAUAAUAGGUGCGUGAUACCUCGUACAUAUUUAUAUGCAACAUUCUUGUCCUCUCUUAAAUAUCCAUUCAUUUAAAAAAUUCUAGUUAAAUUUACAUUACUGUGUAGGUGAACGCCUGCACCCAAAUUCAAAGUAUAAAUAAGCAUCUUGUGAAAGUAAUACAUGUGGGCAAUUGUGCAAAAUGAAUAGUGUUGCAUUGGCAACCCCAUAUAGCCAAAUGGAUUAUGUAUUAAUUCUGUCUUCUUCCACUUUCUUUUCCAGUGUGAUUUAAGUUUCAGCCCAAAAUAUCAACUGUUUAUUUCUCUCCAUAGAUGCUGCCUGACUUGUUGAGUUCCUCCAACAUUUGUGUGUGUGUGUUUGUGUGUGUGUGUGUAUGUAAUUAUGCAAUUAUGCAUUAUGUGUUGUUUAUACAGAUAUUCAAUCUAAUGGAGCUAUUGGCUGUGUAGGCUGGAUCUAUCUUUGUAUGAUCACAUUAAAAUAAAAAGUGGUUGGUUCUUCUUGAGUUUGUAUUCUGUCUCACUGGAAACAGGGAAUCAAAAAUUUUCCAGCUCAAAAUUUCUUGUCGCAUAAGGUAUCAUGGAAGUUCAAUGUCUUCAUUAAGCUUUUUAAACCGUUGUGUAUCUGCUUCUGAUUUAUGAUUAAUACAGAUGUGAGUUGUCAUGUUUUCUCCAUUAAUGUAUGACUGACCGAUUUGUAGAAAGAGUCUAGAACUCAUUAAUAGCACACAGGCUAUAUCCUGCAGUUACUUCCUCGCUUAUUGGUUCCUCUCUGGUAUCAGGUUGUGAUUCAACUUUUCUUUGCAACUAGCCACAGGUUCUUUGCUUACUCAUGCUGUAAGGAAGUAGGAAUUAGUGGGCUUUAUUCUCUUCACGAUGUGUGCUUUUGGUCUUUGGCUCUCUUGUGGGGUUAAACCAACUAAUAUCUUCUGCGUUUUAAGCCUUAGCUCAGUCAUUCAGUGGUGGGUCUAGCCCCACACCAGCAACUUGAACACAUCAUCCAGGCUGACUAUCAGAAUACACUAACACCAAAGUCCAAAGUGCAAAGCAGUAACAAUAGAAUCAGUGAAAAACUACACUCAAAACAAAGACUGUCAAACAACCAAUGCGCAGAAACAACAAAAAAAAACUGAGAAUUUGAGUUGUAGAGUCUGUGAAAGCGAGUCCAUAUGUUGUGGAAUCAGUUCAAAGUUAAGGUGAGUGAAGUUAUCUGCACUGGUUCAGAAGCCUGAUGACUGAAGGGCAAUAACUGUUCCUGAAUUUGGUGGAGUGCGACGAGGGGUUCUCUUUCCUGAUGCUAGCUGUGAAAAGAGAGCAUGGCCUGGAUGGCAGGGGCCCUUGAUGUUAUUUUGUAGCUUUGUAGAUGUAGCUCCUUAUAGAUGUGUCAAUGUUUGGAAGGGUUUUGCCUCUAAUGGGCUGGGCUGUUUCCACCAGGGUGCUGUAAAAAGCUGCAUGAAGAGCAGGGGAGUUAUUUUGGUUUCUGAGUUAAUAUUGACUUCUCAAUACAACAUUAAACAUAGAUUCUCUUAUAAUUAUUGUUUGUCAAAUUGGAUUCUACAUUCCCUAGGCAUCUCAGGUCAAUGGAAGGAAGUAUGAACUGGUAUCAGUGCCUUCUUUCAACCAACACCUCUGGUACUGAGUCAGGAGUUACACUGAUGCUGCCCAGUCAGUGCCAGACUUCUGAGCUUUGUCAUGGGAAAGGAUUCUGAGGUGGAAGAGGAAAAGAUUCGAGGACCUGUUCCAGUUUCUGGGAAGAAAUGCAACAUCAUUCCUGAUUCUCGGGAAUCUCUGGGCCAUGAUGACCUGAGUGGACGUGAAACAUUUGGGAUGAAGUUGAGAACAUGCCUGAGAAGCACACAAAGGCCCUGAGAGCCUGUGAUUUGCAGUUUGGAGAUCGUUAGGGUGAUCCAGCGCUCUGCAGUCUCCGAGAGGAUCCCGGGAGGCAGAGGCGGUGAACACAGCUGUGGGACAGGGCGCGAGCUGAUGCUCACUCCAUUUCACUGAUUAAAACCUCUAUUAUUCACUAAUUGAAGAAACAGCGAGGCAAAUGCGCAAGGUCCAAAAGGUGCCUCUUGAAGGUAGAGUGAAAGGUGGAAGAUUUUGGGAAUACACUUCCUGGAAGAUAAAGGAAUGGUGGCUAAAUGAAACAAGAGAAAUCAGUGGUUCACAAAAGCACUGGAUCUGGAGUAAAAGACAUUUCGUUCUCUUUUACUCAUGUACUGAGGUGUGAGAAUAAACAAUCGGGAAUCUUGAUGGGAGACACAUGGGGCCUGCCCCCUCCAGCACGUUCUCGACUGUGAUAGUCGUCGAUGCAAACGAUGCAUUUCACUGUAUGUUUCAAUGCUUUGAUGGACAUGUGACAAAUAAAGCUAAUCUCUAAUCUGUUCGCCUGAGGGAAUUGUCACAGAUAUAAAGACAUAAAGAUAUAAGGAUAAGCACAACGAAACAUCGAGACAUAUAGUGGAAUGUGUCAUUCGUGUCAAUGGCCAACGCUGUCUGAGUUCCUCUAUUGUCUGGCAUGGUGCUCCAGCUGAGGCUUUCGACAUAACCAAACCUCUCCACGUCCACUUUGUUCUUGAUAGAUAACUAGAACUGGAAGUUGAUGGAACAGUGUGGCAGAAGGACAACCCGCUGCAGUGCGUCCUGCCACAAUCUUCUGCAGGAGGUUGAGAGUGAUCUUUUGCCAAUACUCAGUGCUAACACUGGGUCGUGUAUCCUGUUGUGACUCCUAAAUAAUUCCACAAUUCCUUUGGAGACCUUACUGCUUCAUUCUGAUCUCCAAGUACCCAAGAUCUCUGCCAGCCACAGUUCACUUGCUUCGUAAGCCACAAGAAGUUUCCCAGACAAUAAUGGCACUACAUUCCUAUAUCCAGUCAAGGUGAUUGCUCCUAGAUGUGAAGACAACGGCAUUGUAACCAGCAAAGAGCAAAUCACAGGUAUUGAACGGCAACACUUCUGACCAGAGAUAAAGUGACAGGAAAUGACUCAACCCACAUGCGACAAAACAGGAUGUAGCAAAUUGAGAUACUUUUCUUCCGACUGUAUAAGUACAAUAAAUAAAGUUGAU